RNAcentral lists this transfer RNA (72 nucleotides) under bacterium. Its description in RNAcentral is "tRNA-Ile". It matches the Rfam family "tRNA". From Rfam's summary of the family: Transfer RNA (tRNA) molecules are approximately 80 nucleotides in length. The record is from RNAcentral.
GGGCCCAUAGUUCACUGGUAGAACGCUUCUCUUAUAAAGAAGAAGUAGAAGGUCCGAUUCCUUCUGGGCCCA